GUUAUGGUUCAUAUUCUGGUUUUAUUCUCGUUAAGUUGGUUAAUAAUAAUUAGUUAAGGUGCUGCGUUUUUGUUAAGACGUUUAGUGAUACGGUGAGUUUGGAUUGAACAAAACGGGUGCGUUUAGUAAAAUACGGUUAUUGUUUUCACUAUAUUACGUGUAACAGAAAGGAGGUUGGACAUGAAUAUUGAAUACAGAUUUUCUCAGCUUCACUGUGCUCAAGCUUCCUUUUCUUUCUUUUCUAAGAUUUCUCACUUCUUCUUCAAUUCUAUUUCUAUCUAUGAACGUUCUUCUACAAAGGUAUCAGAGCCUGACGAUCUUCAUGACUUGCGACGGUGUAACCACGAGGAUGCAAAAGGAGCUUGGUCAAAUCCAAUGUGAACUCUCUCACAUCCAAUUGGAGUUUUCUCAAUUAGAUGCUCAAAUUAAUGUUCGUUUGAAGGGACUACAGGAAGAUAUCAAAUCACAGGUACGUACAGAACUUCGUUCCGAACUGCAUACUCUGUUUGAGUAAUAUUUUGGUCAGGGACCUCUAGUGGCGUGGGAUGCACGAGUGGCAGCAAGAGGAAGGGUAUUCUGGGAUCUCCACCAGGAUUUCCAUCGCAGGAACAUUUGAUAGUAUCUCUGAUGGUGGAUCUGGGUCAUUUUAACUCCUCGUCGCGUGGAAUGCUAGCAGAAGCGGAUCGAUCUACUUUUAGAAUGGCAUGUCCAAUGUUCAAUGGUGGCAACUUUAGAGGAUGGUGGUCCAAACUUGAGCAAUAUUUUGAAGCAGAAAAGAUCGGGGACCAUGCUAAGGUUCGACUUGUGAUGCUACAUUUGGAAGGUAAAGCUCUUGAGUGGCAUCAUUUCUUUGCCAGGAGACAUGGAGGGUUGUAUCAAUUGUCAUGGGAAAUGUAUGCAAAAGGGUUGAGGGAACGAUUCGGUUCAGAAUCUUUCCUUGAUCCGAUGGGAGAGUUAGUGACCUUUAAACAAAUCGAUUUUGUCGAUUAGUACCAUGAUGGGUUUCUGAGUUUGUUGAAUCAGCUUAACUUGCCUAAAAUGUAUACAUUGAGUAUAUUCCUCAGUAAUCUUAAGCCUAAGAUAGGCCAAUAUCUCAGGUUGUUUAAACCUCAAUCAUUAGUUGAGGGAUUCAACUUAGCUAGACAAGUGGAAAAAAUUGUGUUUGGUCCAGCUAAGCGUGAGAAUAUACCGCCUACAGGGGUAAAUGUGGGCAGACCUUUGUUGCCUGUAGCAAGAAACUUUAGAGGAAAUAGUAGCUCCAGUUCAAUAAAUGAGUCAAUAAAUGGGAAAGACGGCUCUAAAAUGCCUUCAAAAUCCUUGUCGCAGGCAGAAUUGGAAGAUAGGAGGAAGAAAGGCCUUUGUUUUUGGUGUGGUCUUAAGUAUUCUCCUGGUCACAAGUGUUCUAAGUCCCAGGUGUAUCAGCUAGUGGUGGAACCGUAGGAAGAUAGUAAUUCUGAAGCAAAGAGUCAUUCUCAAGACGAUUUCCAAGACUGUCCUGAAUAGUUGGAAUCUAUGGAGUUGGGUUCAGAAAGUUCUACACCGGUGUUAUCUUUGCAUGCAUUGCAUGGAUCACAAGGUCACAACACCAUGAGGUUUCCAGCAAUGAUCGACUAAGUUGAGGUGGUGGCUUUGGUAGAUUCAGGCAGCACACACAAUUUCAUUGAUUUCAAGGUAGCUAAACUACUAUAGUUGACCAUUGAAUCUGAGCCUAGCCUAAAGGUGAUGGUGGCAAAUGGUGUCAAACUGAGCACCCAGGGAUUAUGUAAGGUUGUACGAUGGGAAGCACAGGGGUAUAAAUAUACCACGGAUUUUUUAGUUCUCUCAGUCAAAAGGUCUGACUUAGUUCUGGGAAUUCAAUGGUUGCUUUCCUUAGGACCGAUUGUGUGGGACUUUGCAAAACUGACUAUGAAAUUUCAGUAUAGAAACCAAAAAUGCAAUUUAAAGAGUACUGUCCCUGGGCCAAUGCAGAUUGUUCCGAGUGGCCGGUUUUCUAAAUGCAUGAGUCUAGCAGGUAAUGGCCCUUGUCCAAUGCUGCUAACUUCUUGUGAUCAGACUGUGCUUGAGUUGAAAUCAGAUUCUUCACUUCCCGAGUUAUAAAAUUUGCUUGGAGAUUUUGAAGAUGUUUUUCAGGUACCCACACAACUACCAACCCCUAGAUUCCACGACCACAAGAUCCCAUUAGUGGAUGAAUCUCAGGUGCUGAAAAUGCGCCCUUAUAGGUAUCCAACAGUGCAGAAAACUGAAAUUGAAAGACUAGUUCGGGAAAUGUUACAGGCUGGGAUUAUUCGAGAUAGCAAUAGUCCUUUUGCUUCUCCAGUGGUUAUGGUCAAGAAGAAGGAUGGGAGUUGGCGCCUUUGUAUAGACUACAGACAGCUAAAUCAGUUGACAGUUAAAGAUAGAUUUCCCAUUCCCAUCAUUGAAGAAUUGUUAGAUGAGUUGGGACAAGCACACUUUUUCUCUAAGUUGGACCUGCGUUCUGGUUAUCACCAGAUUCGAAUGAGUGAGCAGGGCAUUUUCAAAACGGCGUUCAGAACCCAUGAUGAUCAUUAUGAGUUCUUGGUCAUGCCAUUUGGCUUGACCAAUGCACCAUCGAGUUUUUAGUCCUUGAUGAAUUCAGUUUUCCGAUCUAUGUUAAGAAGAUCAGUGUUGGUAUUUUUUGACGAUAUCCUUGUCUAUUCGUGAGGUUGGUCUGACCACUUGGAUCAUUUACAUGAGGUUUUGCAGGUGCUUCGAGAAAAUCAGUUGUUUGCCAAGAGGUUUAAAUGUAGUUUUGGAGCUACACAUGUGGAAUAUUUAGGCCACAUCAUUGCCCAAGGGACUGUUAGCAUGGAUCGAUCAAAGGUAAUGAGCGUACUAGAUUGGCCUCCUCCAAGAUCAGUCAAAGAACUACGGGGAUUCCUUGGCUUGUCGGGUUAUUACAGUAGGUUUAUAAGGGGAUACGGGUUAAUAGCUAAACCUCUCACUGUACUUUUACGUAAGGGGGUCUUAUGGGAGUGGACCGAGCAGGAACAACAAGCAUUCGAGCAACUCAAGUCAGCAAUUUGUAAAGCCCCAGUUCUGACUCUGCCAAAUUUUCAAGAACAGUUUUGUGUCGAAAUAGAUGCUAAUGGGCAAGGAGUGGGAGCUGUUCUUCAACAAAAGGGAAAGCGAAUAGCUUUCUUUAGUAAAGCUUUGGGAGUUAAAUACCAAGCUCUAUCCAUCUAUGAUAAGGAGAUGAUGGCAGUGUUACUAGCAGUAAAGAAGUAACACUCUUACCUUAUGGGUAGAGCUUUUGUCAUCAAAAUAGAUCAUCAGAGUUUGAAAUUCAUUUCGGAGCAACAAGCUAUUACGCUCUAUCAACAAAAGUGGGUGGCUAAGAUGCUUGGGUAUGAUUAUUCAAUCGUGUAUCGAAAAGGGGCGCAAAACGUAGUGGCAGAUGCAUUAUCCAGGAAACCUUCAGAAUUGGAACAUCAGUUGUUGCAAUGUGAAGGCAAUCUGGAGUCAGAUUGGUCUACAAUUUGGGACAAGAUUGUAAGUUUGUAUGAGAGGGAUCAGAGUCUUGCUCAACUUUGUGAGCAAGUGCGUGCGUAGCCACAGUUGCAUCCUAAAUAUUCGUGGCAUGGCACCUUUUUGCGUAGAAAAAAAAAGUCGUGGUUGGAAAAGAUGCAACACUGCGAAAGCAUAUUUUUGACAUCUUCCACAACACACCCUUAGGAGGUCACUCUGGAAUCCUUGCGACUCGCCAGAGAAUAUCUGUUAUAUUGUAUUGGAAGGGGCUGUCCAAAGAUGUAUAUGAUUGGGUUAGCGAGUGUGUGAUGUGUUAAAGGUGUAAGUAGGACAAUGCAGCAUCGCCUGGUCUUUUGCAACCGUUACCCAUUCUGGAACGGGUCUGGUCUGACAUCAGCAUGGACUUCAUUAAGGGACUGCCACUUUCUCAAGGAAAAUCAACCAUCUUUGUAGUGGUUGAUCGUCUAACCAAGUACGGUCAUUUUUUGGCACUUGCUCAUCCUUUCACAGCUCUUAUAGUGGCACAGGAGUAUUUCAACCAUAUUUACAAGCUUCAUGGGAUUCCGGAAACCAUUGUCUCCGAUAGGGAUAAAAUUUUUCUAAGUCAAUUUUGGCAGGAGUUGUUCAAACACUUGGGAACCAAAUUGAAGAAAUCUACAGCCUAUCACCCUCAAAUAGAUGCGCAAAUCGAGGUGUUGAACAAAUGCUUGGAGGGAUACUUGCGAUACAUGGUUGGGGAAAAACCCUCAGCAUGGUUAUCAUGGUUACCACUGGCUGAGUGGUGGUAUAACACGACAUACCAUUUAGCAAUUCAAACAACGCCUUAUGAAGCUCUUUAUGGACAGCUCCCACCUAUCCAUCUACCUUAUGUGGUGGGUGCAUCCCCAGUAGAUUCAGUAGAUUGUACCCUACAGCAUAGAGAGAUUAUGCGCAAGAUUCUCAAGUUCCACUUGUCCCGGGCUCAAGAUAGAAUGAAACAAAUGGCUGACAGAAAAAGACUAGAAAGGGAGUUCCAGGUGGGUGACUUAGUUUAUCUAAAGCUUCAGCCAUAUCGUCAACACUCCCUGCGCAAAUUAAGAAACCAAAAAUUGUCACCCCGAUAUUUUGGUCCUUUUCCUGUGGAAGCUCGAAUAGGGCAGGUGGCUUACAAGUUGACAUUACCCGCUUCAGCUCGAAUUCAUCACACUUUCCAUGUUUCACGGUUAAAGAAGCAUAUUGGUUCAGCAGUAAGCGCUUCCACGCUACCAUCAGUCGCUUCGGAUGGUGCUCUUCUUAAAUCUCCAGUGCGAGUGUUGGAUAGGAGGAUGGUCCGACAAGGUAAUCAUGCUGCGGUGGAAGUAUUGGUUGAAUGGGCGGACACUUUUCCUAAGGAUGCUUCCUGGGAGAAGUUGUCUGAGUUACAACGCAGGUUUCCUACCUUUGAUCCUUAAGGACAAUGAUUUCUUUUAGGGCGGGUAAAUUGUUAUGGUUCAUAUUCUGGUUUUAUUCUCGUUAAGUUGGUUAAUAAUAAUUAGUUAAGGUGCUGCGUUUUUGUUAAAACGUUUAGUGAUACGGUGAGUUUGGAUUGAACAAAACGGGUGCGUUUAGUAAAAUACGGUUAUUGUUUUCACUAUAUUACGUGUAAUAGAAAGGAGGUUGGACAUGAAUAUUGAAUACAGAUUUUCUCAGCUUCACUGUGCUCAAGCUUCCUCUUCUUUCUUUUCUAAGAUUUCUCACUUCUUCUUCAAUUCUAUUUCUAUUUACGAACGUUCUUCUACAUUCUCUAGCCCUAAAUCCCCAUUCACCCUUCGAUUGUGACGAAGCGAUGAGGAUUCGACGGCACCGAUCAGGUAAAUUUCUCGUCCUCUAAUCUCUCUCUUUUUCUAUGUACCAUAAGUAAAAAAAGAUUCAAGAAACAAAAAGCGAAAUAAUCGAAGGCAAAAAACGAGAUUUCAAAUCACCUUAAAAAAACUCUGAUUGUUUUCUUUUUUUUUCUUUUCGUAUUUCUAUUCAAAUCUGUGAAUCCCCCUUUACAAAAUGAAUCGAUCGGCUUUUAUAUUGCCGACUAUUACACAGAAUUAUUUUUCCUUUUUUGUCUUUUUUUCUUUUUUCCUAUUAUCCUCGUGUAUAUCUUCUGCUAUUGCUGGUUUGUUACACUUGCAGGUACAGCCAGCUGUGGAGACGCACGUAGGACGUGUACGGGGCUGCUGCGCAUGGGUGAAGGGGCUUGGCUGCUGCGGCACUGCUGGUUACUGAAAAUUAGGGUUUUUGGAAACUGUUUAGGGCUAGGUAUUGGGCUUAGUUUUUUGGGUUUGUAUAACUAGACAUUUGGACUGUUAUUUAAUUUUUAUUUAUUUUUGUGUUUUAUUUUCGAUUUUUCUUUUGGUGUUUACUGGGCCGGGCAAAUUGGGUAUUACAAUGCUGAUGUGUUUAGCCAGACAAUAACAUAUAUGCUAGUACAUACCUUGAGUUUGGAUCCAAGUGUGUAGCCUAUCAAACCAAAAAAGUUCACUCCACCAAUGGUCCGCGUUAUAUAAAGAAAGGUUGAUAAGCUUGUAGCUGAUAAUUUCACUAGAAAAGUCAUGUAUCAAUAUUGGAUCUCAAAUGUCGUGAUAGUUUUUUUUUAAACAUUAAUCUUAUUAUAGGUUCUUAUCGUAUCUGUUCUUUUUGAUACAAUGUCUAGAACUACCCAUAGCCCCUUCCCAACUCUUAAAUAAGAGGAUAAUGUACUUUAACGCACUCAAACUCACGUUCUCUUACACUGG
Molecule: long non-coding RNA, 6230 nt
Filed under: Gossypium barbadense (sea-island cotton)
Lineage: Eukaryota; Viridiplantae; Streptophyta; Magnoliopsida; Malvales; Malvaceae
Description: long non-coding RNA (GBAR_LNC015375)
Source: RNAcentral